Molecule: long non-coding RNA, 1622 nt
Filed under: Homo sapiens (human)
Lineage: Eukaryota; Metazoa; Chordata; Mammalia; Primates; Hominidae
Description: non-protein coding lnc-DLK1-35:4
Rfam family: Maternally expressed 3 conserved region 2 (bases 536-640)
Source: RNAcentral
AGCCCCUAGCGCAGACGGCGGAGAGCAGAGAGGGAGCGCGCCUUGGCUCGCUGGCCUUGGCGGCGGCUCCUCAGGAGAGCUGGGGCGCCCACGAGAGGAUCCCUCACCCGGGUCUCUCCUCAGGGAUGACAUCAUCCGUCCACCUCCUUGUCUUCAAGGACCACCUCCUCUCCAUGCUGAGCUGCUGCCAAGGGGCCUGCUGCCCAUCUACACCUCACGAGGGCACUAGGAGCACGGUUUCCUGGAUCCCACCAACAUACAAAGCAGCCACUCACUGACCCCCAGGACCAGGAUGGCAAAGGAUGAAGAGGACCGGAACUGACCAGCCAGCUGUCCCUCUUACCUAAAGACUUAAACCAAUGCCCUAGUGAGGGGGCAUUGGGCAUUAAGCCCUGACCUUUGCUAUGCUCAUACUUUGACUCUAUGAGUACUUUCCUAUAAGUCUUUGCUUGUGUUCACCUGCUAGCAAACUGGAGUGUUUCCCUCCCCAAGGGGGUGUCAGUCUUUGUCGACUGACUCUGUCAUCACCCUUAUGAUGUCCUGAAUGGAAGGAUCCCUUUGGGAAAUUCUCAGGAGGGGGACCUGGGCCAAGGGCUUGGCCAGCAUCCUGCUGGCAACUCCAAGGCCCUGGGUGGGCUUCUGGAAUGAGCAUGCUACUGAAUCACCAAAGGCACGCCCGACCUCUCUGAAGAUCUUCCUAUCCUUUUCUGGGGGAAUGGGGUCGAUGAGAGCAACCUCCUAGGGUUGUUGUGAGAAUUAAAUGAGAUAAAAGAGGCCUCAGGCAGGAUCUGGCAUAGAGGAGGUGAUCAGCAAAUGUUUGUUGAAAAGGUUUGACAGGUCAGUCCCUUCCCACCCCUCUUGCUUGUCUUACUUGUCUUAUUUAUUCUCCAACAGCACUCCAGGCAGCCCUUGUCCACGGGCUCUCCUUGCAUCAGCAGGUUCCCAGUGCCCCCGACAAGCCCCUGCUGGUGUCUCCAUCUCCUGCCAAGCAUCCUCCAGUGCCUCCUCCUGUGGGCCUGGCCUCAGGGCUAUGGACAGACUCCUGUCCCAUCCCAGAGACCCCUCGUGAUCGUGCCCUGGCACGUGGGCCGUGGCCCGGCUGGGUCGGCUGAAGAACUGCGGAUGGAAGCUGCGGAAGAGGCCCUGAUGGGGCCCACCAUCCCGGACCCAAGUCUUCUUCCUGGCGGGCCUCUCGUCUCCUUCCUGGUUUGGGCGGAAGCCAUCACCUGGAUGCCUACGUGGGAAGGGACCUCGAAUGUGGGACCCCAGCCCCUCUCCAGCUCGAAAUCCCUCCACAGCCACGGGGACACCCUGCACCUAUUCCCACGGGACAGGCUGGACCCAGAGACUCUGGACCCGGGGCCUCCCCUUGAGUAGAGACCCGCCCUCUGACUGAUGGACGCCGCUGACCUGGGGUCAGACCCGUGGGCUGGACCCCUGCCCACCCCGCAGGAACCCUGAGGCCUAGGGGAGCUGUUGAGCCUUCAGUGUCUGCAUGUGGGAAGUGGGCUCCUUCACCUACCUCACAGGGCUGUUGUGAGGGGCGCUGUGAUGCGGUUCCAAAGCACAGGGCUUGGCGCACCCCACUGUGCUCUCAAUAAAUGUGUUUCCUGUCUUAACAA